GACGAACGCUGGCGGCGUGCCUAAUACAUGCAAGUCGAACGCUGAAGGAGGAGCUUGCUUCUCUGGAUGAGUUGCGAACGGGUGAGUAACGCGUAGGUAACCUGCCUGGUAGCGGGGGAUAACUAUUGGAAACGAUAGCUAAUACCGCAUAAUAGUAGAUGCUGCAUGACAUUUGCUUAAAAGGUGCAAUUGCAUCACUACCAGAUGGACCUGCGUUGUAUUAGCUAGUUGGUGGGGUAACGGCUCACCAAGGCGACGAUACAUAGCCGACCUGAGAGGGUGAUCGGCCACACUGGGACUGAGACACGGCCCAGACUCCUACGGGAGGCAGCAGUAGGGAAUCUUCGGCAAUGGACGGAAGUCUGACCGAGCAACGCCGCGUGAGUGAAGAAGGUUUUCGGAUCGUAAAGCUCUGUUGUAAGAGAAGAACGAGUGUGAGAGUGGAAAGUUCACACUGUGACGGUAUCUUACCAGAAAGGGACGGCUAACUACGUG
Molecule: ribosomal RNA, 495 nt
Filed under: uncultured bacterium
Lineage: Bacteria
Description: partial 16S ribosomal RNA
Rfam family: Bacterial small subunit ribosomal RNA
Source: RNAcentral